Molecule: ribosomal RNA, 362 nt
Filed under: uncultured bacterium
Lineage: Bacteria
Description: bacterial SSU rRNA
Rfam family: Bacterial small subunit ribosomal RNA
Source: RNAcentral
AUUGAACGCUGGCGGCAUGCUUUACACAUGCAAGUCGAACGGCAGCGCGGGGGCAACCCUGGCGGCGAGUGGCGAACGGGUGAGUAAUAUAUCGGAACGUACCCAGAAGUGGGGAUAACGUAGCGAAAGUUACGCUAAUACCGCAUACGAUCUACGGAUGAAAGUGGGGGACCUUCGGGCCUCAUGCUUUUGGAGCGGCCGAUAUCUGAUUAGCUAGUUGGUGAGGUAAAGGCUCACCAAGGCGACGAUCAGUAGCUGGUCUGAGAGGACGACCAGCCACACUGGAACUGAGACACGGUCCAGACUCCUACGGAGGCAGCAGUGGGGAAUUUGGACAAUGGGGGCAACCCUGAUCCAGCAAU